This 91-nucleotide transfer RNA is filed under the name Blochmannia endosymbiont of Camponotus (Colobopsis) obliquus. RNAcentral's name for it is "tRNA-Ser (GGA) (tRNA-Ser-GGA-1-1)". It matches the Rfam family "tRNA". From Rfam's summary of the family: Transfer RNA (tRNA) molecules are approximately 80 nucleotides in length. Their secondary structure includes four short double-helical elements and three loops (D, anti-codon, and T loops). Lineage: Bacteria; Pseudomonadati; Pseudomonadota; Gammaproteobacteria; Enterobacterales; Enterobacteriaceae. The record is from Rfam by way of RNAcentral.
GGUGAGAUGUCCGAGUGGAUUAAGGAGCGCGCCUGGAAAGCGUGUGUACACGAUAAUCCGUGUAUCAAGGGUUCGAAUCCCUUUCUCACCA